CUUUGGGGUGUGACUGCGUACCUUUUGUAUAAUGGGUCAGCGACUUAUAUUCUGUAGCAAGGUUAACCGUAUAGGGGAGCCGGAGGGAAACCGAGUCUUAAUUGGGCGUUAAGUUGCAGGGUAUAGACCCGAAACCCGGUGAUCUAGCCAUGGGCAGGUUGAAGGUUGGGUAACACUAACUGGAGGACCGAACCGACUAAUGUUGAAAAAUUAGCGGAUGACCUGUGGCUGGGGGUGAAAGGCCAAUCAAACCGGGAGAUAGCUGGUUCUCCCCGAAAGCUAUUUAGGUAGCGCCUCGUGAAUUCAUCUCCGGGGGUAGAGCACUGUUUCGGCUAGGGGGCCAUCCCGGCUUACCAACCCGAUGCAAACUGCGAAUACCGGAGAAUGUUAUCACGGGAGACACACGGCGGGUGCUAACGUCCGUCGUGAAGAGGGAAACAACCCAGACCGCCAGCUAAGGUCCCAAAGUCAUGGUUAAGUGGGAAACGAUGUGGGAAGGCCCAGACAGCCAGGAUGUUGGCUUAGAAGCAGCCAUCAUUUAAAGAAAGCGUAAUAGCUCACUGGUCGAGUCGGCCUGCGCGGAAGAUGUAACGGGGCUAAACCAUGCACCGAAGCUGCGGCAGCGACGCUUAUGCGUUGUUGGGUAGGGGAGCGUUCUGUAAGCCUGUGAAGGUGGCCUGUGAGGGUUGCUGGAGGUAUCAGAAGUGCGAAUGCUGACAUAAGUAACGAUAAAGCGGGUGAAAAGCCCGCUCGCCGGAAGACCAAGGGUUCCUGUCCAACGUUAAUCGGGGCAGGGUGAGUCGACCCCUAAGGCGAGGCCGAAAGGCGUAGUCGAUGGGAAACGGGUUAAUAUUCCCGUACUUGGUGUUACUGCGAAGGGGGGACGGAGAAGGCUAUGUUGGCCGGGCGACGGUUGUCCCGGUUUAAGCGUGUAGGUGUGUGUUCCAGGUAAAUCCGGUUCACUUUAACACUGAGGCGUGACGACGAGGCACUACGGUGCUGAAGCAACAAAUGCCCUGCUUCCAGGAAAAGCCUCUAAGCAUCAGGUAACAUCAAAUCGUACCCCAAACCGACACAGGUGGUCAGGUAGAGAAUACCAAGGCGCUUGAGAGAACUCGGGUGAAGGAACUAGGCAAAAUGGUGCCGUAACUUCGGGAGAAGGCACGCUGACACGUAGGUGAAGUGAUUUACUCACGGAGCUGAAGUCAGUCGAAGAUACCAGCUGGCUGCAACUGUUUAUUAAAAACACAGCACUGUGCAAACACGAAAGUGGACGUAUACGGUGUGACGCCUGCCCGGUGCCGGAAGGUUAAUUGAUGGGGUCAGCGCAAGCGAAGCUCCUGAUCGAAGCCCCGGUAAACGGCGGCCGUAACUAUAACGGUCCUAAGGUAGCGAAAUUCCUUGUCGGGUAAGUUCCGACCUGCACGAAUGGCGUAAUGAUGGCCAGGCUGUCUCCACCCGAGACUCAGUGAAAUUGAACUCGCUGUGAAGAUGCAGUGUACCCGCGGCAAGACGGAAAGACCCCGUGAACCUUUACUAUAGCUUGACACUGAACAUUGAGCCUUGAUGUGUAG
This 1574-nucleotide ribosomal RNA is filed under the name Salmonella enterica subsp. enterica. RNAcentral describes it as "partial 23S ribosomal RNA". It matches the Rfam family "Bacterial large subunit ribosomal RNA", at positions 583 to 2141 of the family's 2925-position model. Lineage: Bacteria; Pseudomonadati; Pseudomonadota; Gammaproteobacteria; Enterobacterales; Enterobacteriaceae. The record is from RNAcentral.